GUUUUCUUCUUCAUAUGAAAAAUAUUUAUAUUUUUAAUUAUCAGAAGAUGAACCCAAAUAAUUAUGAAAUAAUUCUGGGAAUCAACAAUCAACACCACCACUGGACUUUAGUGGUAAUAAAAGUUUCUAAAACUUUAAAAACAACCUACAUCAUUCUUAUAUCAUGGACACAAAUCACAUGAAACCUGUCAAAUGCUAACUUUAUAGGUGAUCUACCCACAAGAGAAAAAGUCUUUGUUCUUGAAUCCACUGGAGGAAUCAAAACAAGAGAUCCAGAAAUGUUUGCAAAUCACAAGAGCAUUUAUGAGGAAGAAGGUGUACAAUGUCUCUCGUUGGACAUGUGACACAGUGAAGCAUCAAAACAACAGGACAGUACAUCAUGUGGUGUAUUUUCACUGAAGUUUGCAGAAAAAAUCGUAGCGGUCUACAGCAUGAGGUUGGACAUUGCUGUGAGACUUGUCCUUGCCAGUGGUAAUUAUAACAUUA
Long non-coding RNA from Austrofundulus limnaeus, 486 nucleotides. RefSeq lists it as uncharacterized. The transcript is spliced from 3 exons. The record is from RefSeq and is a predicted model, not a curated record. NCBI's taxonomy places the organism in Eukaryota, Metazoa, Chordata, Actinopteri, Cyprinodontiformes, Rivulidae.